UCCUCAGACAUAAUUACAAAUUCUGGAAUUUAAAGCUGAGGCUCAACAAAAUAAUUCAGGUGAUUACUUUUAUCACAGUCCAUCCUCUGUGCUGUUUUGCAGGCCAAAGAUAAAAGGAUUCGAUACUUUGGAGGAACUUUGCCUCACAUGGUUGUAAAAUCAGCAGAGGUGCUGGAAACACCUCAUUUUGUGUGGAGAGGUUCAGUCCUAUACCUGAUGGGGAGGAGAAAGCAUUGACUAGACAUUUUUCCAGUCCUUGAAGCAGUUUUCUUUGAGAGAAUGACAUUUUUCAUGCCAGACAAUUGGCAUCAGCUGUCAAGUUGGGUCAUCAAGUUGGGUGAACUGGACAAGACAGAGAUGGAGACAUGCAAUGCUGUAUGGUGUCAUCAGAACUAAAGAUUAUGAAAUUCUUCUGCACAGAUUUCACCCCUGAAGUGAACAGAACACACCAGGGAUUUCCCAUGGUGAUGAGAGUCCCUGUUCCAGCUCAACUGAUUCAACUGGCUAUGUUGCCUUUUAUCCAGGUUCCUGUUUUCAUCAUAUGGCAGGAGAUGCAGAAAGCACUAGGAAACCUACACCACCAGAGGGCAGCAUCCACAGUAGAACGUGGGAGGUGGUGCUUAUCACCUGCCAGGGAAAAUGUUGCCUUCCUAGGAGGGUAAAUUAUGUCAACCAAAAUACAGCCUGAUUUUAGAUCUCCGAUACCAUUCCCUUUGAAAU
RNAcentral lists this long non-coding RNA (720 nucleotides) under Junco hyemalis (dark-eyed junco). Its description in RNAcentral is "lncRNA (ENSJHYG00000017026.1)". Lineage: Eukaryota; Metazoa; Chordata; Aves; Passeriformes; Passerellidae. The record is from RNAcentral.